CCUACGGGAGGCUGCAGUGGGGAAUAUUGGACAAUGGGCGAAAGCCUGAUCCAGCCAUGCCGCGUGUGUGAAGAAGGCCUUCGGGUUGUAAAGCACUUUCAGUGGGGAAGAAAGCCUUGGGGCUAAUACCCUCGAGGAAGGACAUCACCCACAGAAGAAGCACCGGCUAACUCCGUGCCAGCAGCCGCGGUAAUACGGAGGGUGCGAGCGUUAAUCGGAAUUACUGGGCGUAAAGCGCGCGUAGGCGGUCUGAUAAGCCGGUUGUGAAAGCCCCGGGCUCAACCUGGGAACGGCAUCCGGAACUGUCAGGCUAGAGUGCAGGAGAGGAAGGUAGAAUUCCCGGUGUAGCGGUGAAAUGCGUAGAGAUCGGGAGGAAUACCAGUGGCGAAGGCGGCCUUCUGGACUGACACUGACGCUGAGGUGCGAAAGCGUGGGUAGCAAACAGGAUUAGAUACCUGGUAGUC
RNAcentral lists this ribosomal RNA (464 nucleotides) under Vreelandella stevensii. Its description in RNAcentral is "partial 16S ribosomal RNA". It matches the Rfam family "Bacterial small subunit ribosomal RNA", at positions 338 to 795 of the family's 1533-position model. Lineage: Bacteria; Pseudomonadati; Pseudomonadota; Gammaproteobacteria; Oceanospirillales; Halomonadaceae. The record is from RNAcentral.